Long non-coding RNA from Antechinus flavipes (yellow-footed antechinus), 3518 nucleotides. RefSeq lists it as uncharacterized. Lineage: Eukaryota; Metazoa; Chordata; Mammalia; Dasyuromorphia; Dasyuridae. The transcript is spliced from 10 exons. The record is from RefSeq and is a predicted model, not a curated record.
UCAUCAUCAGGGUGUAGCUAGAUGGCAUAAUGGAUAGAGCACCAGCCCUGAAGUCAGGAGGACCUGAAUUCAAAUCUGGUCUCAGACACUUAACACUUCCUAGCUGUAUGACCUGGGCAAGUCACUUAACUCCAAUUGCCUCAGCAAAAAAAGAAAUCAUCAUCAUUUUGAUUCUUCAUCUUGACAAAAUAUUUCAACAGACCAAGUUGAAAGCUCAGUGGUGAGGACUCUUUCCUGCAAAAUGUCACCAAUGAUGAACUAUUCAACAGCCCUGGAGAUAAUGGGUCACAAAGGUUGGAGAAAAAGGAAUCAAGGAAAGAAUUUCAUCAAGACUACCCAGCAAGAUCUUUGAAAAAAAAAUUGGAAAGCAGCCUGGGAAAGGGUUUUAGCCAUGACUGGCAUGAAGAAGGAAUUGCCCUGGAGCCUACACAUUGGAUAAGGCCUGGGAUUUCACCUGAAAUGAGGGCGAAUGUGAAUGGAAGGACAGAAGAAGAAAUCCCAACAGCUUUCUCAAGUCUUCCAAGUGGGCCUUCACAUAUGGCUUCAUUAUUUCAUUUAAAAAAGCAUGUGAAUUCACAGCUGCCAGAGAAAUCCAUACAGAAAUGUUGACUACUCUGAAAACAAGGUAAAGCAGUAAAGCUGUAUGGCUGUGUCCUGGGCUGACCUGAGCGGCAUGCCUAUUUCUUCUCUCUGCACCCUGAAGGAAGCUUCUCAAGAGUGAUUCAAUGAAAUCUCUGUGGCUUGGUGGAAGAUAGCAUCUUGGAUGAGUUGCUUAGACAAUAUAAGAUGAGGAAGCUCAUGCCCAGAGAGGAUGAUUUGCCCAAAGUCAUGUUUCUAGGAAAUGGAUGAGCUUGGAUUGGGAAUCAGGGAAUUGUGCUGGAGGCAAAAACAUGGUCCCUGCCCUCAAAGAAUUUACAUUCUAAAGAGGAGUCAAAAUGCAAACAAUCAUAUUUAUACAAGAUAGGUGCAAGUUUCAUUGGGAGUCUACUUCUUUUUUGUAUUACAAUCAUUGCCUCCUGCUCUCCCUCCAACAUUUCUGCUGCUCUACUAAGAAUGCACUUUUGUGGCAAAUCAGUAUGGUUAAGUAAAACAAAAUUGGUGGUAUGUUGUUCAUACCUGAAAAUGCAUGUCUCAUUUUAUUCUCACAAUCCAUCAUCUCCCAUGACUUAAGUUACACUCUUCCCCAUUAGUCUUCUGUAGUUGUGUUUGGCCAGUUAUUGUAUUUGUUCUGCGUUCUUAAGUCAUUUAAACUUGUUUACUUUUAUACUGGUGUAAUUAUUGCAUAGCUUCCUGAUUCUGCUUAUUUCAUUCUUUAUCAAUUCAAAUAAGUCUUCUAAGUUCUCUGAAUCUGAUUAUUUAAUAAUUUCUUGAUAUAAAUCCAAUAUAAUUAUUCUAUCAUUUAAAAAAUGACCUUUUAAAACAUUUUAUUUAAUAUUUUGCAUCGCUAUUCACUAUGGAAAUGAUUAUGCUUAGGUCUGAAAAGGAAGCACAUUGAAGUGAGCAAUUAUUUUGUUUUUUGCUGACUCGUUUUGCAGUGUGAUUAACUUUUCAUCAAAGAACUUAGAUGCUGUGCCAUUUGGUCCAUAUACAUUAAAUAUUGAUACUAUUUUAUUAUCUAUGGUUCCUUUAAGGAUAACAUAGUUUUCUGAGGAGAGAGUGAGGCUAAUGACUUUGUAUAGCUCUACUUCACUUAAAUCCAAUUUGUGUGAAAGUCGAAAUAUCUUUUGUGAUGUCUUUGUUCCACUUUGAGAACAAAGUACAAAUAACAAAUGUUUUUCCUGCUUUUCCUUUUUAACGAAGACUUUUUUUUUUAUUAUUGUCUUGUCUUAGAUCAUGAUAAUUCCCCCGUCUUUUUUGAAUUUGCCCAGAGAAUAAUAAAUUAUGCCCCAGCCUUUCAUUUAACUCUUUGUGAAUAUGUAGCAAAUGCAUUUCUCACAAACAACAAAUUAUUGGAGUCUUCUUUCUAAUUUAUUGUUCUACAUUUCUCUGUUUUAUGGUUUAUCCCAUUUGUAUUCAUUUUUAUAGUUUUUAAUUGUGUAUUUUCCUCCAUUAUGAUUUCUCAUACUCUUCCCUCUUUAUUAUUUACCAUUUCUUACCCCAAAAGAGAAGGAUGGAGAAAGAGAAGGCAAUAGAACAACAUGAGUAAUAUAUAAUUGAAAUUGCCUUCUCCUACUCCGUUGCAUUUUUUCUCUCUCUCCCACUCCCAAAUCCAAGCUCAGUUUCUACUUCCUGUGCUCUUUCUUUAUAAUCCUUCUUUAUGAUCAACUAUCCAAGGCUGAAAUUUGUUUUACUUGUUAUUAUUCCUUUUCCAAUUUCAUUUUCUGUUUUAUUCUUCUCUCUCUUAAUUUCCACAAGCAUUUUUUCCUUUACUAAAGCCAACAAAACUAAACAUAACCACAACCUAAUCCUUUAUUUGUGUCAUUUACCUAUAUCUAUGACCUUUGACAUCUAGAUUCUGAGGGGAGCACUUUUCUCUAUUAGAGUGUAAGCACUUCAUCAUUUGACUACUUCCAAUUUGUCAAAUACAGUUACCUUUUAAAAUUCUCUUGCCUCCUAUGUUUGCAUUUAAAAGUUUUCUCUCAGCUCUGAUUUUUUUUUUUUUAAUCGGGGAUGCUUUAAAGUCCUCUAUUAUAAGUCUUUUUCUCCCGUAGGAAAUAGUAAUUCCCAAGUACAGUAAUUUCUACAUAGAUGAAUCUCAAUUAUCUACAGCAUGCCAUUAUAUAAAACACUAGGUAAUUUCAACAUUCAUUUACAGUGGGCUUCAGAAUGAUAUUAUCCCUCUAAAUCCUUAAUAAAUUAACUUUAUAAUUAUGGUUUUCUUAGGGUAAUAUUGAAAUUAGUAUGUAUUUUCUGAGUGCCCACUAGUUGAUGGAGGGGCAAGUGACCCCAAAAUAUGUUCAUUGAGAAAAAAAAGCCAGCUCCUGGAUAUUUCCCACAAGGAUAAUAAUAAUAAUAAUAAUAAUAAUAUAACACCUGACUAUUAUCCAUCAUUUUUAGCCUAUUAAAGACACUGUAUUCUUUACAUUUUAUAUAAUUUGGGAGUUCAUUGGUACCUCCAAAAUUCUUUUGUUCAUAGAAUUUGGCUAUUCUAUACUAAAAUAGUCAUUAGAUUAUCAAUUCAUACCAUCUCAGGUUUUGAAUUUGUGUUUACCUUGGUUCUUAUUUUUAGUUUGUCCUCUCUUUUCUAUCUUAAAAGAUCUAUAUGUCUAUUCUAUAUCACAGUUAGGUCAAUGUUCAAUGUUCUUUCCAUUACAUCACACACUCUCUCAGGCUUUCUUCAAGGCACAUCUCAGGUAUUUCCUGAACCCCUAGUUAGUAACAUUCUUUCCUCCUUGAAAUUAUUCUGUUUUCUUUUAUAUAUUCUUUAUAUUUGUUUAUUUAAUUUUGUAACUGUAUCCCUCCAGAAGAACUUAAGAUCUUUAACUAUAAGUGGGAUCGUUUUAUUUUUACUUUUGUAUCCUUAUUGUCUGACAUGAUAUUUUGUAUAUAGUAGGUUAAUAAAUGUUUGUUGAAAUGGA